This 338-nucleotide microRNA precursor is filed under the name Gossypium raimondii (Peruvian cotton). Its description in RNAcentral is "miR7484c stem-loop (gra-MIR7484c)". The stretch from base 98 to 242 matches the Rfam family "MIR7502 microRNA precursor family". Lineage: Eukaryota; Viridiplantae; Streptophyta; Magnoliopsida; Malvales; Malvaceae. The record is from miRBase by way of RNAcentral.
CUCCUGUACUAGAAGUCGAAUUGCAUUUUGCCCCCUUUACUCAAAAAUUGAGCAAAUUAGUCCUUGUAUGUUAGAUCAAGGAGGAAAUCGGCCCUUUGGUUAAAAAUUCUAUCCAUUUCUACUAUUAAAAAAUAGUCCCUAUACAUCAGCAUGAGGUAUACGUGGCAUACCACGUGGCACUGUCUGGUUAUUGCGUUAGCCACACCUGUUUUUAACAGUAUAACUGGAUGAAAUUUUUAAUAGAAAGGACAAAUUUGCUCGUUGAUUUGAUGUACAGGGAUUAAUUUAUCCAUUUCUUGAAUAGAGGCAAAAUGUAAUUUGAUUUCUAGUACAAGGGC